RNAcentral lists this ribosomal RNA (1050 nucleotides) under Staphylococcus aureus. Its description in RNAcentral is "bacterial SSU rRNA". It matches the Rfam family "Bacterial small subunit ribosomal RNA", at positions 79 to 1107 of the family's 1533-position model. Lineage: Bacteria; Bacillati; Bacillota; Bacilli; Caryophanales; Staphylococcaceae. The record is from RNAcentral.
CUUGCUUCUCUGAUGUUAGCGGCGGACGGGUGAGUAACACGUGGAUAACCUACCUAUAAGACUGGGAUAACUUCGGGAAACCGGAGCUAAUACCGGAUAAUAUUUUGAACCGCAUGGUUCAAAAGUGAAAGACGGUCUUGCUGUCACUUAUAGAUGGAUCCGCGCUGCAUUAGCUAGUUGGUAAGGUAACGGCUUACCAAGGCAACGAUGCAUAGCCGACCUGAGAGGGUGAUCGGCCACACUGGAACUGAGACACGGUCCAGACUCCUACGGGAGGCAGCAGUAGGGAAUCUUCCGCAAUGGGCGAAAGCCUGACGGAGCAACGCCGCGUGAGUGAUGAAGGUCUUCGGAUCGUAAAACUCUGUUAUUAGGGAAGAACAUAUGUGUAAGUAACUGUGCACAUCUUGACGGUACCUAAUCAGAAAGCCACGGCUAACUACGUGCCAGCAGCCGCGGUAAUACGUAGGUGGCAAGCGUUAUCCGGAAUUAUUGGGCGUAAAGCGCGCGUAGGCGGUUUUUUAAGUCUGAUGUGAAAGCCCACGGCUCAACCGUGGAGGGUCAUUGGAAACUGGAAAACUUGAGUGCAGAAGAGGAAAGUGGAAUUCCAUGUGUAGCGGUGAAAUGCGCAGAGAUAUGGAGGAACACCAGUGGCGAAGGCGACUUUCUGGUCUGUAACUGACGCUGAUGUGCGAAAGCGUGGGGAUCAAACAGGAUUAGAUACCCUGGUAGUCCACGCCGUAAACGAUGAGUGCUAAGUGGUUAGGGGGUUUCCGCCCCUUAGUGCUGCAGCUAACGCAUUAAGCACUCCGCCUGGGGAGUACGACCGCAAGGUUGAAACUCAAAGGAAUUGACGGGGACCCGCACAAGCGGUGGAGCAUGUGGGUUUAAUUCGAAGCAACGCGAAGAACCUUACCAAAUCUUGACAUCCUUUGACAACUCUAGAGAUAGAGCUUUCCCCUUCGGGGGACAAAGUGACAGGUGGGUGCAUGGUUGUCGUCAGCUCGUGUCGUGAGAAGUUGGGGUUAAGUCCCGCAACGAGCGCAACCCUUA